GGGGGCGACCGGUUUCGACGGGGGUAUGCGAAGCAUAGGGCGCAUGCAGUGGGUCCGCAACCACUUCAAAAUGCGGAACUUUCACAAUUGCCAAUAACGAACUGGCACUCGCCGCUUAAAUAAGCGACGCGUCCUUCCUGGAGGAGGCCCGCGACCCGGGAAGGACGACGAUCAGCGGGCUGGCACAACGCGACUUCUCUCUGUCGUUGUGCGAGAUCUAGAGAGAUAGCGCUUGAAGGGGCCUGGCCGAUGGCAUCUCGUAGCGCGAAACUCCAAAUAGCCGGCCUAAGCAUGUAGUGGCCUGUGUGUAGCGCUUCCGGACGGGGGUUCGAUUCCCCCCGCCUCCACCA
Molecule: transfer-messenger RNA, 350 nt
Filed under: Nitrospirota bacterium
Lineage: Bacteria; Pseudomonadati; Nitrospirota
Description: Nitrospirae bacterium (marine sediment metagenome) transfer-messenger RNA
Rfam family: transfer-messenger RNA
About the family: Bacterial tmRNA, also known as 10Sa RNA or SsrA, is named for its dual tRNA and mRNA-like properties. Its role is to liberate the mRNA from a stalled ribosome. To accomplish this part of the tmRNA is used as a reading frame that ends in a translation stop signal.
Source: RNAcentral